GUCUCCGGCCACGCCACCCUGAGCAAGGCCGAUCUCGUCUGAUCUCGGAAGCUAAGCAGGGUCGGGCCUGGUUAGUACUCGGAUGGGAGACCACCUAGGAAGACCGGGCGCUGUAGGCG
Pteropus alecto (black flying fox) is the source of this 119-nucleotide non-coding RNA. Lineage: Eukaryota; Metazoa; Chordata; Mammalia; Chiroptera; Pteropodidae. The record is from Rfam.